Molecule: ribosomal RNA, 255 nt
Filed under: uncultured bacterium
Lineage: Bacteria
Description: partial 16S ribosomal RNA
Rfam family: Bacterial small subunit ribosomal RNA
Source: RNAcentral
CGUAGGGGCGAGCGUUGUCCGGAAUUAUUGGGGCGUAAAGGGCGCGCAGGCGGUCUCUUAAGUCUGAUGUGAAAGGCCACGGCUCAACCGUGGGAUGGCAUUGGAAACUGGGGGACUUGAGUGCAGGAGAGGGGAGCGGAAUUCCCGGUGUAGCGGUGAAAUGCGUAGAGAUCGGGAGGAACACCAGUGGCGAAGGCGGCUCUCUGGCCUGUAACUGACGCUGAGGCGCGAAAGCGUGGGGGAGCGAACAGGAUU